RNAcentral lists this transfer-messenger RNA (330 nucleotides) under Blautia obeum. It matches the Rfam family "transfer-messenger RNA". Rfam says of the family: Bacterial tmRNA, also known as 10Sa RNA or SsrA, is named for its dual tRNA and mRNA-like properties. Its role is to liberate the mRNA from a stalled ribosome. The record is from RNAcentral. Lineage: Bacteria; Bacillati; Bacillota; Clostridia; Lachnospirales; Lachnospiraceae.
GGGGCUGUAAAGGUUUCGACAGGGGUAUGAAAGUUAUGAAUUCGCUAGAGUGAUGACUUAAUCAUCAAACAUUAAAUACAAACGCAAACAGACAGAUGUUAGCAGUAGCCUAAGUUGCUACGCCAAAACACAUUGAGAUAAUGCUGGUAAAUGUUGAGGUUCAAAAACAAGCAUAUUUGGUAUACGGUUCCCUGUAUAUGAAUACCUGUAUUGGUUGAGAUAGUAAAGAACAGGGUGGUGGACAAGAAAUCAGUACAUGAUUCCAAAACAGCGUAAAGAUUCAUAGUGAGUAAUAUUUUUGGACAGGGGUUCGAUUCCCCUCAGCUCCAU